UGCAAAUAAGUAGUGAUUUCAAUUAACAUGAUUAAUAGUCAAUGUUUCCAUUGUUACCUCACUGUCAAUAUACAAUUACCUUCACUUAAUCAAUCAAAGGAUACCAAUCAGCCAAAGAAGAGAACCAUUACAUUGGUACUUUUACAUAUAUCUAAAACAGAAACAGACAUAUUAUUAUUAUGAUUAUUUAGAUGAUACCUAACAUUCAGCUUAAGUAUUUUUUAUUGUCAAAAUGAAUUGGAAAUCAUUGUAUUUCAUAAAUUAAUUCCCUUUAUUUCAUAUUUUUAGCAUUAAUCAGUUCCAAACGAAAAAGAUUUUGCGAGGAAAAUUUACAUACAGAUUCUGAACGAAAGAAAUGCAGAAAACAACUUUUUAAGACCAGCGAGAGGGAAAAAAAUGUUGAUCAGAGCAGUCGUAUAGCCAAGAGGUAUGGAACUGAUGACUUGGUCCAAAUGUUGUUUGGAAAAUGUAAAGAGGUGG
Molecule: long non-coding RNA, 480 nt
Organism: Saccostrea cuccullata (small rock oyster)
Lineage: Eukaryota; Metazoa; Mollusca; Bivalvia; Ostreida; Ostreidae
Exons: 3
Source: RefSeq, a predicted model, not a curated record